UUUUUUUUUUGUUUUUUUCCGAUACAUUGACGGCAUGAAUGUAGGGUGGGAAAACGAGUAUCUAUUAAUAAAAAAAAGGUAAAAGUUGGACUAAGAAACUCUUCCCUUUCUCACUCCAACUACUGCCUAUAAAAUAAGGCUUUUUCUCGUUGAUUAAGGCAUAUUUUUAUUUUCAAUAUGUAGCUACUUGAUCGCCUCCAUGAUAUGUUUUGUACCUAUUUGGGCGAUUUGUCACAUUCAUUGUGUCGUCUGAAAGCUGGACUAUGUAACCUGGGCAAGUGUACAUUGAUUAAUUUUUUUUUCUUUUCUUUAUGUCACCAUUCGAAUUACUUACGAAUGUCCAAAUACAUGAUGAAAAAUAAUAAAAACACAAAGAUCUCAAUGACUCUCACUUAAUGCCACUUUAACAACUUUUAUUACGUAAAAAAAAUUGUGUAAAUUUGAUAUUGGGAUCAUGAAGCACAUAAUAAUCAUAUGAAUAAGAAAUCACUAGAAAGUAUAAAAGGAAGAUGCUAGAGAUUACCUCAAUCGAGCUUUGUACACCCUACACCGGGUCUCCUCCUUCGAUGGCGCAGAGGAUCACGCUUAGAUGUUCGAUCUAA
Molecule: long non-coding RNA, 602 nt
Filed under: Amborella trichopoda
Lineage: Eukaryota; Viridiplantae; Streptophyta; Magnoliopsida; Amborellales; Amborellaceae
Description: long non-coding RNA (ATRI_LNC001701)
Source: RNAcentral